Molecule: ribosomal RNA, 594 nt
Filed under: uncultured Pseudoalteromonas sp.
Lineage: Bacteria; Pseudomonadati; Pseudomonadota; Gammaproteobacteria; Alteromonadales; Pseudoalteromonadaceae
Description: bacterial SSU rRNA
Rfam family: Bacterial small subunit ribosomal RNA
Source: RNAcentral
UGACGAGCGGCGGACGGGUGAGUAAUGCUUGGGAACAUGCCUUGAGGUGGGGGACAACCAUUGGAAACGAUGGCUAAUACCGCAUGAUGUCUACGGACCAAAGGGGGCUUCGGCUCUCGCCUUUAGAUUGGCCCAAGUGGGAUUAGCUAGUUGGUGAGGUAACGGCUCACCAAGGCGACGAUCCCUAGCUGGUUUGAGAGGAUGAUCAGCCACACUGGAACUGAGACACGGUCCAGACUCCUACGGGAGGCAGCAGUGGGGAAUAUUGCACAAUGGGCGCAAGCCUGAUGCAGCCAUGCCGCGUGUGUGAAGAAGGCCUUCGGGUUGUAAAGCACUUUCAGUAAGGAGGAAAGGUUAGUAGUUAAUACCUGCUAGCUGUGACGUUACUUACAGAAGAAGCACCGGCUAACUCCGUGCCAGCAGCCGCGGUAAUACGGAGGGUGCGAGCGUUAAUCGGAAUUACUGGGCGUAAAGCGUACGCAGGCGGUUUGUUAAGCGAGAUGUGAAAGCCCCGGGCUUAACCUGGGAACUGCAUUUCGAACUGGCAAACUAGAGUGUGAUAGAGGGUGGUAGAAUUUCAGGUGUAGCGGUGAA